RNAcentral lists this ribosomal RNA (433 nucleotides) under uncultured bacterium. RNAcentral's name for it is "partial 16S ribosomal RNA". It matches the Rfam family "Bacterial small subunit ribosomal RNA", at positions 29 to 507 of the family's 1533-position model. The record is from RNAcentral.
AACGAACGCUGGCGGCAUGCCUAACACAUGCAAGUCGAACGAGACCUUCGGGUCUAGUGGCGCACGGGUGCGUAACGCGUGGGAACCUUCCCUUAUGUUCGGAAUAACUCCCCGAAAGGGGUGCUAAUACCGGAUAAUGUCUUCUGACCAAAGAUUUAUCGCCUUUGGAUGGGCCCGCGUUGGAUUAGCUAGGUGGUAGGGUAAAAGCCUACCAAGGCGACGAUCCAUAGCUGGUCUGAGAGGAUGAUCAGCCACACUGGGACUGAGACACGGCCCAGACUCAUACGGGAGGCAGCAGUGGGGAAUAUUGGACAAUGGGCGAAAGCCUGAUAGAGCAAUGCCGCGUGAGUGAUGAAGGCUUUAGGGUUGUAAAGCUAUUUUAACCGGGAUGAUAAUGACAGUACCGGGAGAAUAAGCCACGGCUAAAUCCGUG